RNAcentral lists this ribosomal RNA (441 nucleotides) under uncultured bacterium. RNAcentral describes it as "bacterial SSU rRNA". It matches the Rfam family "Bacterial small subunit ribosomal RNA", at positions 28 to 417 of the family's 1533-position model. The record is from RNAcentral.
GAUGAACGCUGGCGGCGCGCCUAACACAUGCAAGUCGAACGUGAAAGUGUAGCAAUACAUGAGUAAAGUGGCGCACGGGUGAGAAACGCGUAGGUGACCUACCUUUGUGACCGGAAUAACCAGUCGAAAGAUUGGCUAAUACUGGAUAGAGCGCAUUUAUCGUAGAGAUGAGUGCGGGAAAGGGCGGCUGUUGCACCGAGUAUUUAUGCUAGAGCAUAAAUGCUGAGUGCAGCAGCUGUUGCACUGAGAAGGGCCUGCGUCUCAUUAGCUAGUUGGUGAGGUAAUGGCUCACCAAGGCAAUGAUGGGUAGCUGGUCUGAGAGGACGAUCAGCCACACUGGAACUGAAACACGGUCCAGACUCCUACGGGAGGCAGCAGUGGGGAAUCUUGCGCAAUGGACGAAAGUCUGACGCAGCGACGCCGCGUGAGUGAAGAAGGCCU